RNAcentral lists this ribosomal RNA (253 nucleotides) under uncultured bacterium. Its description in RNAcentral is "partial 16S ribosomal RNA". It matches the Rfam family "Bacterial small subunit ribosomal RNA", at positions 524 to 776 of the family's 1533-position model. The record is from RNAcentral.
UACGGAGGGUGCAAGCGUUAUCCGGAUUCACUGGGUUUAAAGGGUGCGUAGGUGGGCAGGUAAGUCAGUGGUGAAAUCUCCGGGCUUAACCCGGAAACUGCCGUUGAUACUAUUUGUCUUGAAUAUAGUGGAGGUGAGCGGAAUAUGUCAUGUAGCGGUGAAAUGCUUAGAUAUGACAUAGAACAUCGAUUGCGAAGGCAGCUCGCUACACUAUUAUUGACACUGAGGCACGAAAGCGUGGGGAUCAAACAGG